UGAGGAAUAUUGGUCAAUGGACGCAAGUCUGAACCAGCCAAGUAGCGUGCAGGAUGACGGCCCUAUGGGUUGUAAACUGCUUUUAUAUGGGGAUAAAGUGGGGAACGUGUUCCCUUUUGCAGGUACCAUAUGAAUAAGGACCGGCUAAUUCCGUGCCAGCAGCCGCGGUAAUACGGAAGGUUCGGGCGUUAUCCGGAUUUAUUGGGUUUAAAGGGAGCGUAGGCCGUUUGGUAAGCGUGUUGUGAAAUGUAGGAGCUCAACUUCUAGAUUGCAGCGCGAACUGUCAGACUUGAGUGCGCACAACGUAGGCGGAAUUCAUGGUGUAGCGGUGAAAUGCUUAGAUAUCAUGAAGAACUCCGAUUGCGAAGGCAGCUUACGGGAGCGCAACUGACGCUGAAGCUCGACGGUGCGGGUAUCGAACAGG
Molecule: ribosomal RNA, 424 nt
Filed under: Verrucomicrobiota bacterium
Lineage: Bacteria; Pseudomonadati; Verrucomicrobiota
Description: Verrucomicrobia bacterium partial 16S ribosomal RNA
Rfam family: Bacterial small subunit ribosomal RNA
Source: RNAcentral